This 632-nucleotide ribosomal RNA is filed under the name Mesomycoplasma hyopneumoniae. RNAcentral's name for it is "bacterial SSU rRNA". It matches the Rfam family "Bacterial small subunit ribosomal RNA", at positions 236 to 867 of the family's 1533-position model. The record is from RNAcentral. Lineage: Bacteria; Bacillati; Mycoplasmatota; Mycoplasmoidales; Metamycoplasmataceae.
CAACAUUAGUUAGUUGGUAGGGUAAAAGCCUACCAAGACGAUGAUGUUUAGCGGGGCCAAGAGGUUGUACCGCCACACUGGGAUUGAGAUACGGCCCAGACUCCUACGGGAGGCAGCAGUAAGGAAUAUUCCACAAUAAGCGAAAGCUUGAUGGAGCGACACAGCGUGCAGGAUGAAGUCUUUCGGGAUGUAAACUGCUGUUGUAAGGGAAGAAAAAACUAGAUAGGAAAUGCUCUAGUCUUGACGGUACCUUAUUAGAAAGCGACGGCAAACUAUGUGCCAGCAGCCGCGGUAAUACAUAGGUCGCAAGCGUUAUCCGGAAUUAUUGGGCGUAAAGCGUCCGUAGGUUUUUUGUUAAGUUUAAAGUUAAAUGCUAAAGCUCAACUUUAGUCCGCUUUAGAUACUGGCAAAAUAGAAUUAUGAAGAGGUUAGCGGAAUUCCUAGUGGAGUGGUGGAAUACGUAGAUAUUAGGAAGAACACCAAUAGGCGAAGGCAGCUAACUGGUCAUAUAUUGACACUAAGGGACGAAAGCGUGGGGAGCAAACAGGAUUAGAUACCCUGGUAGUCCACGCCGUAAACGAUGAUCAUUAGUUGGUGGCAAAAGUCACUAACACAGCUAACGCGUUAAAUGA